Non-coding RNA from Schistosoma curassoni, 45 nucleotides. The record is from Rfam. Lineage: Eukaryota; Metazoa; Platyhelminthes; Trematoda; Strigeidida; Schistosomatidae.
AUCCAGCUGAUGUGUUACGAACAGGAUGAAACGCGCGUCCUGUAU